RNAcentral lists this transfer RNA (78 nucleotides) under Epibacterium sp. DP7N7-1. Its description in RNAcentral is "tRNA-Arg". It matches the Rfam family "tRNA". From Rfam's summary of the family: Transfer RNA (tRNA) molecules are approximately 80 nucleotides in length. Their secondary structure includes four short double-helical elements and three loops (D, anti-codon, and T loops). Further hydrogen bonds mediate the characteristic L-shaped molecular structure. tRNAs have two regions of fundamental functional importance: the anti-codon, which is responsible for specific mRNA codon recognition, and the 3' end, to which the tRNAs corresponding amino acid is attached (by aminoacyl-tRNA synthetases). tRNAs cope with the degeneracy of the genetic code in two manners: having more than one tRNA (with a specific anti-codon) for a particular amino acid; and 'wobble' base-pairing, i.e. permitting non-standard base-pairing at the 3rd anti-codon position. Lineage: Bacteria; Pseudomonadati; Pseudomonadota; Alphaproteobacteria; Rhodobacterales; Roseobacteraceae. The record is from RNAcentral.
GCUUCCUUAGCUCAGUUGGAUCAGAGCGUCGCGCUACGAACGCGGAGGUCGCAGGUUCGAGUCCUGCAGGGAGUGCCA